This 429-nucleotide ribosomal RNA is filed under the name Pseudomonadota bacterium. RNAcentral's name for it is "Proteobacteria bacterium partial 16S ribosomal RNA". It matches the Rfam family "Bacterial small subunit ribosomal RNA", at positions 355 to 776 of the family's 1533-position model. Lineage: Bacteria; Pseudomonadati; Pseudomonadota. The record is from RNAcentral.
UGGGGAAUAUUGGACAAUGGGCGAAAGCCUGAUCCAGCCAUGCCGCGUGUGUGAAGAAGGUCUUCGGAUUGUAAAGCACUUUAAGUUGGGAGGAAGUGCAGUAAGCGAAUACCUUGCUGUUUUGACGUUACCGACAGAAUAAGCACCGGCUAACUCUGUGCCAGCAGCCGCGGUAAUACAGAGGGUGCAAGCGUUAAUCGGAAUUACUGGGCGUAAAGCGCGCGUAGGUGGUUCGUUAAGUUGAAUGUGAAAGCCCCGGGCUCAACCUGGGAACUGCAUCCAAAACUGGCGAGCUAGAGUAGGGCAGAGGGUGGUGGAAUUUCCUGUGUAGCGGUGAAAUGCGUAGAUAUAGGAAGGAACACCAGUGGCGGAGGCGACCACCUGGGCUCAUACUGACACUGAGGUGCGAAAGCGUGGGGAGCAAACAGG